RNAcentral lists this ribosomal RNA (253 nucleotides) under uncultured bacterium. Its description in RNAcentral is "partial 16S ribosomal RNA". It matches the Rfam family "Bacterial small subunit ribosomal RNA", at positions 524 to 776 of the family's 1533-position model. The record is from RNAcentral.
UACGGAGGGUGCAAGCGUUAUCCGGAUUCACUGGGUUUAAAGGGUGCGUAGGCGGGUAUAUAAGUCAGUGGUGAAAGCUCCGAGCUUAACUUGGAAACUGCCAUUGAUACUGUAUAUCUUGAAUAUCGUAGAGGUUAGCGGAAUGUUGCAUGUAGCGGUGAAAUGCUUAGAUAUGUUACAGAACACCAAUUGCGAAGGCAGCUAACUAUGCGAUAAUUGACGCUGAGGCACGAAAGCGUGGGGAGCAAACAGG